RNAcentral lists this long non-coding RNA (406 nucleotides) under Struthio camelus australis. Its description in RNAcentral is "lncRNA (ENSSCUG00000007175.1)". The record is from RNAcentral. Lineage: Eukaryota; Metazoa; Chordata; Aves; Struthioniformes; Struthionidae.
UUUUUCUUUUCUCCUCCUUCCCUCUCUCUCUCCCUUUCCAGGAGAACCACAGUAAGGGAGGACAUGAAACAUCUUUAAUGGAAUUUUGCCUUUGAUCAAGCUGGUAAAAUGGAUGUGAACGUUAUUUUCUCUUUUGAAGGAGAGUCAUCCAAAGAAGGGGUUAACACUGCCAGGAGGAAGCAAGUUCAGCAUUCAGAGCCCGACAGGAGGAUCGCUGAAGUGAAAAGACACUUGGCUUUUCUAUGACUUUGAUAAAGGAGAACGAAUGAUUCUCACAACUUAUGUGUAGUCAGGAAACAAUUCUAAUACCAGUGUAUAGGUGGGGAACCAAGACUGCAAUGUUGAUGUUAUGAAGUGUCUGUUGAUUCAGGGAGCUUAAACAACGAGGUACCCAACACAAGAAAUC